CCCAGACGCGCGGGCCGCGCGCACGGCUCCAGCAUCUGCGCAGAGACCCAGGGUGGGGUGGCCGCCGGCCAGGAUGAGCCCGGGGUGCGGGGCUGCUUCCGAGAAAGCUUUGAGCGGAGGCAGGGGGACUCCAGCAGGGACGUCGACAUGAAGAGAAAGGUGGACGCGAGCUCGGUCAUUCAAAGUCUCUCCCACCCCGCCGCCGCCGCCAGCCCCCAGCGGGGGACAGAAAGAGAAGGAGAAAGGAGAGGGAAGAAAGUAGUUGCGCCGGGCUCUCUCGGGGGCCUCGCGCGGAGCUGCUACGGUGGGGAGAGGAGCGUUCAACUCUGAGUCCCGUGAACAGAAUCUGCGCGGUUAUAACCAGCCAACCCGGCCAGAUGGCUCCGCGCUCAGCGCCUUAACCCCUUCGGCGCCGCGCCGCCCGCCCCCGCGCCCGGCCGGCCGCGCAAGCCUGCGCCCCAGCGCCCCUCCGGCUGGGGCCGGGGGCCACUGGGGGCACCGGGUCAUUUCCCCUGUCCUUUCUUAAAUAAAAAUAUCCCCAACCUCCAA
This is a long non-coding RNA of Orcinus orca (killer whale), 549 nucleotides long. RefSeq lists it as uncharacterized. The transcript is spliced from 2 exons. The record is from RefSeq and is a predicted model, not a curated record. NCBI's taxonomy places the organism in Eukaryota, Metazoa, Chordata, Mammalia, Artiodactyla, Delphinidae.